Molecule: ribosomal RNA, 305 nt
Filed under: uncultured bacterium
Lineage: Bacteria
Description: bacterial SSU rRNA
Rfam family: Bacterial small subunit ribosomal RNA
Source: RNAcentral
CCUACGGGAGGCAGCAGUGGGGAAUAUUGCACAAUGGGGGAAACCCUGAUGCAGCGACGCCGCGUGAGUGAAGAAGUAUUUCGGUAUGUAAAGCUCUAUCAGCAGGGAAGAAAAAUGACGGUACCUGACUAAGAAGCCCCGGCUAACUACGUGCCUGCAGCCGCGGUAAUACGUAGGGGGCAAGCGUUAUCCGGAUUUACUGGGUGUAAAGGGAGCGUAGACGGCGCGGCAAGUCUGACGUGAAAGGCAGGGGCUUAACCCCUGAACUUCUUUGGAAACUGCCAUGCUAGAGUGCUGGAGAGGUA